Non-coding RNA from Rattus norvegicus (Norway rat), 3292 nucleotides. The record is from RefSeq and is a predicted model, not a curated record. Lineage: Eukaryota; Metazoa; Chordata; Mammalia; Rodentia; Muridae.
CUCCCGGGCCCAGCCCCCAGGUCUGUUGAAGCACGUGGAGCGUAUGAUGCGGACUGUAUCGCGGCGUGUUUCACAAGACCUGACUGCUGUACGCGGGUCUCCACCCGUGCCUCACACCUCCUUACAAGUCCCUGUGUGUGUGCAGGAUGUCGGGGGCGGGUCGGUGAGAGCGUGCUUCUUCUCCUGCCUCAGACAGUACAGAGGACUCGCCUGAAAAACACAGCUGCCCUCUCUCCUUCCUGCUGUGGACACAGACUCUGCCCCUGAACCCAAGAAAGCUAUGAUCAAGCUGCCUGGUGGUCCACACCUAUAAACCCAACACUCCACAAGCUGAGGCAGGAGGAUCACAAGUUCUAGGACAAAGGCACCCUUGCCCUCAGAGGAAAGAGUCGCUGCAGGAUCCUGUCUGAGUUCUUGUCGGAUGUGAGGCAGAGGUGCGGUGGGGCUAAGCCCCUUCCUCCCAAUAGAUGUCUCCAUCUUUGUGUCCUCUUCCUCUGAGACCCCAUGAAAAUGGAUGUUGAUGAAUGAUUGUGGCUCCUCUGCAACUCGUCCCAGGCUCAAACCUUGAGAGCUGGGCCCCAAACCCAGAAGAGCCCUGUCCCUCAGAGAAUCUCCUGAGGCCCAAGCUCCUCAUGCUGAUCAAGUUCCCCAAAUGGUCUGGUCUGGUGGGAGCAGCUCUACGCCUGCAUCUGAGACUUCAGGAACUCUCUCUCUCAUGGAUGCUGCUUUCCGAUUGCUACGUGAGUCUCAGAGGGCUGGGGGGAUGCACACGCGUGAGGACCUGGGUAUCCACUCUACAAAAAGCCAAGCAUGGCAGUGUCAUCUAUCACCCCAGCACAGAAGACAAAAAAGCAGACCGGUGACCUCGAAUGUAAGAGUUCAAGUCUCUGCACCAGCAUCUCACGGGCUACAGUUAACCAGCAUGCGCUAUCACGCAUGACCAGAAGGCACACCUGUCUGUCGGGAGCCUCUGCGUGAGGUCCUGUCUUGUUAUAGCCACUCGUUCGUGUGGACUGAAGUCCCCUCUCACCCCCCUGCCAUCAGAGACUCAAGGAUUUCGUUUCUUCAAGAAUGAACUUCAGGUUCCAACCAAAGGCAAGAUGAUCGCUUGCCCUCUGGUGUCCCGUCUGUAACAACAGAGCCACCUGAUCCUCUCAUACUCUGUUGCCAGCCAUGGCAGCCAAGAUGCCCAACAUGCCUGGAAGUCAAGAGUGGCCUUCAGGAGUUUGCUGCACCUGGUCCAGCUACUGCCAAGGUCACAGAUGCACACUAACCUCUACACUCUUCCAGGAGGAGGCAUGUCCGGAAGCCCAGGGUGGCUUUCUGUAGCUGCUCCAGGACACUGCCUAGCCCCACCGCAGGUUGUUGACACGGUAGGAAGCACAGGGAUGGGAGAGGACCCAACUGCUGCCAAAGUAAACCCGGGGGCUACGCAGGCUCUCUUUGAUUUGAGGAGCUAUUUGUGGACCUGAGUACAUAUCUAUUCUUUAUCUCCCCUCCCCCCCCCCCCCGCCCUCACACACCCAGGGAAACACAGUGUGCCCUGGGAGACAAACCGGUGCUUGCUUAUUUCUCCGUGCUGUUUUUCACUGAAUACCCGGCAGGAAGCGAUGUUUGAAGAUAACACUUCGUCGAACUGCAUUUCCACCUGAGGGAAAGUUGUAAUACUAUAAAAGCAACGACUACCACAAGAAUGGGUUUUCAUUCUUCCAAGGAAACAGUUAAAAAAGAAAAAUCCCCAAAUGGCUGAGGUGACAGGACACCUAUUGUCAUCUGGAACUGGGGCGAUGGAGCCCUGGGUAAUCCCGAUCCAACGUAUAAACGAUGCCUCUGAGCCUGGCAUUCCCUUGGCUUUCUGACGCUGGAUGCUGUGUGCUGGUCAGAGCAGGUGCACACACAGGAGACAGGAGAUAGCUCCCAUUCCUCCAUGAAAUAAACACUGAAGGCCUUGUUCUGUGCUGAGCCGUCUGCUAGACCAUAGAGACACAGUCCCCACCCUCACCCUUGAGACCGACGGUCUUUGCUCCACCAGAGUCUGAAUCCCAUGGGGCUGAGCAUAAAGGAUGACAGGUGCUGAAGGAUCCCAGAAUACAUGGGAUACACUGGACUGAGAGGUCAGGAGACACGAUAGGGAUAAGGACCAGCCUGUGAGGGAGGGUGAGCGUUCUGUAACUGGCUAUUGUCAGAGACCAAGGAAGGGGCAAGUUGCAGGGCAUCUGAGGGUGGAGACUCCCAGGAAAAGGUAAGAAGCUGGAGACCCAGCCUGGUGGAGCAGGGUGAGGCAGUUGGAAGUGAGGAUGCCAUGAGGGGUGAUGUUUUUAGAGUGGGCACCACCGAGGCCCCAGCCGAGGCUGAAGACCCUUCUAAGGACACCUCUCCACAGCCAGGUGGGGUGUCCAGAAACGCAGCUGAGUCCCUGAGAGUUGAGCAUGGCAGCCAUUUUUCCAGAGACACAGUGGAAGGCACCCAACAGAGGGGUGUCUGGCAGCAGUGAGGCGGGGAUGAAUGUCUCACCUUUCAAGGCCUCUCCCUUUAUACCACAUCCCUUUGUGGCAGUGAAGAGAUAGAAUCUAUGGUGAGUACUGUGACGCUCCUCAGAGAUACCCGUGUCUAAGCCUUUGACCCCAUGGAUAUGUGACCUGGCCUCAGGGACUCUGCCCUGGGAUUAAAGACAUGGUUAUGGAGCUGUGCAUGAUCCUGGGCUAUGCACGGACACCAGGUAACCAUGAGGGGUCUUCCUGAGGCAGCCAGGCCAGACCGCAGGAGGAGAGGUAACUAUGAGAGCACAGAGUGAGGGAAAAGGCAGUCUGUGGCAGUAAGCCAGCAGUGGGGGGAUGGACGGGCCAGCCUGAGGCCUCUAGAAGGAAGCAGCCUUGCCCACACCUUGACUGUAGCCCGGGUUUUCCUGAAAUCUAAGGAUGCACUCUCUAAGCCCCAAGCCCUCCAUGAUGUGUUCCAGGGAUCACGGGUUUGACACGGAAGAAGAGGAUAUUGGUCCCACCCUCUGUGCUGCUGAGGACUCUGGGUGGCCCUAGCAAUGUGCCACAGACGACUUCCACGUGCAGAACAGGAGCCGAGAGGCAGACAAGACAAUCCAUGUGGGCAGGUUUUUGGUUUUUAAUUUGUCCAGUUUUUGGUUUUGGAUUUUUAUUUAUAUUUUGUUGAGGCAGGGUCUCACUACGUAGCCCUGGCUAUCCCGGAACUCACUAUGUAUACCAGGCUGGCCUCGAUCUCACAGAGAUCCACCCAUUCUGCCUCCCCGGUAGUGGAAUUAAAGGCAUGAGCUACCACA